CAGGCUCAAAGAACAGUUUAGUUUAUCAAGUUUAGAAUAUAUAUUAACACAGCUGAAAAAUUGAAAAGCAAAGAAAAGUAAAACAAAUACAAUGGCGAAGGAGAACGAAGAAGAUAGAUUCUUCCAAGUUGAAAAUCUUCUGGUGGACGGUAUACCGUGUAUCCGCUUCGACUGGACCUUUAAAAAGCGUCCCUCUUCGUGUAUCUCUGAAACAGCUGAGACAGAAGAUCUGAAUCUAUGGUUUAAAGAUGAUCUCAACUAUCUGGUGCUUAAUGGUCAAGGUGUUUCAGAAAACAUAGACCCAACUUUAGUCACUGUUCUUACAGAGUCAGACCUGCUGGAGAUCUGGGGGGAAAGAAAACAAUCCAUUGUUCUCCGUUUUCCAAGUGAAUCCUUGUGUUCAAAUGUUGCUUUUUUCAUCAGAAACUUCAGUCAGUAUCGGUAUCAGCAGAGCAUCCAUUUCUUUUCCCGAGAGUUGAAUAAAAUCAAUAAAGAAACUAUAUCUACUGAUGAAGCCUCCCAAUAUGUUGGAUUACUGGGAAUAAGCACUAGUAAAUGGGAAGGACCGGAACUAAAUGUUUUGGAUUUUAUGAACUUUGUUGAAAAUAUGUUUUAUUCACAGGUGGAUGAAAAUGAAAUCUUGGUUGAUAUAUUUCAAAAGUAUAGUCGCCAGAUUCAGUCAAAGAAAGGAAUGACCGAAGGGGAUUUGCGCCGAUUUCUCGAGGAGCAUCAGAAGAUGGAGAAUGUGACAGUUGAUAUGUUAGAAAAUAUUCUGAUAAGAUUUCAUAAAAUCGAUUAUGAUCAUGAUACAUUCCCUUUUCUCAUCUACUCAGAGUUUGUAGAGUUCUUGUACUCCGGAGAGUUUAACUCUGUACUCAAGGAUGAGGAGAGAAGUGUUGAGAGUCAACAUGCGACUCUCAGUGAAUACUACAUCAGCUCUGCUUAUAUUCUGGACAAUCAAAACAGAAUAACAGUUGAGUCCUUCAAGUCUCUGCUGUUGCUCGGAGCUAAGUGUAUUGAUCUAGAGAUCUGGGAUAGUAAGGAGGGUCCUCAUGUUAGACUAGAGAAGAUGGUCAAACCUUUAGAUCUACUAGAAGUUCUGGAAUCCAUAAACAAAUAUGCUUUCAUCAUAUCAGAUAUGCCGCUCAUCAUCUCCUUGCGGAUUCAUUGCAAUCAGACGAAUCAGGGACGGUUAGCACAGAUGCUAACAUCAGUGUUCAAGCAGAAACUAUUAAAGGCUCCGGGAAAAGAGCGCAAACCCCAGACACGGUUGCCAUCUCUCUACUCCUUAAAAAACCGGAUAAUUUUACAAGGAGAGAAAAAUCUGAUCCUGUCCAGUGAACCGGACAUCAAGGCCAGAGCUCUUGAAAUGAAAAAUAACGGAUGGCGUGGAGUUACUGUCGAGAUGAACAAAACAGAACUCAGGAUAAAGGAGGAUUUAAACCCUUUAUCAAUUUUGUAUCCAUAUCCAUGGUUUGCAGGAGAAAUGGCUGUGUCCAGAAGAACAUCUUGAAUCUGGUCAAUUUGCAAUCCAUUCUUUCCACGGAGAUAUUUUCCUCAUACUUCUGGAUUCAAGACAGGACGAGCGUAAGGUUGUUUCUUUGAGAAUUAUCCAGAAUAACAAGAAAUUAUUUCUGGAGCCUGCUAUCAAGUUUGAUGAUGUGUUUG
This 1668-nucleotide unclassified non-coding RNA is filed under the name Eurytemora carolleeae. Its description in RNAcentral is "1-phosphatidylinositol 4,5-bisphosphate phosphodiesterase delta-4". The record is from RNAcentral. Lineage: Eukaryota; Metazoa; Arthropoda; Copepoda; Calanoida; Temoridae.